AGCGAACGCUGGCGGCGUGCUUAACACAUGCAAGUCGCGGGAGAAUGGAGGGCUUCGGUCCUCCUAGUAAACCGGCGCACGGGUGAGUAACACGUAGGUAACCUACCUCCGAGACUGGGAUAACCAAUCGAAAGAUUGGCUAAUACCGGAUAAGACCACGGAAGUUUCGGCCUCUGCGGUCAAAGGUGGCCUCUGCUUGCAAGCUACCACUUGGGGAUGGGCCUGCGGGCCAUUAGCUAGUUGGUGAGGUAACGGCUCACCAAGGCUACGAUGGCUAGCUGGUCUGAGAGGAUGAUCAGCCACACUGGGACUGAGACACGGCCCAGACUCCUACGGGAGGCAG
This 343-nucleotide ribosomal RNA is filed under the name uncultured Pseudomonadota bacterium. Its description in RNAcentral is "bacterial SSU rRNA". It matches the Rfam family "Bacterial small subunit ribosomal RNA", at positions 29 to 351 of the family's 1533-position model. The record is from RNAcentral. Lineage: Bacteria; Pseudomonadati; Pseudomonadota.